Molecule: unclassified non-coding RNA, 333 nt
Filed under: soil metagenome
Description: partial contains 5.8S ribosomal RNA, internal transcribed spacer 2, and large subunit ribosomal RNA
Rfam family: 5.8S ribosomal RNA (bases 5-119)
Source: RNAcentral
GAUGAGAACGUAGCGAAAUGCGAUAAGUAAUGUGAAUUGCAGAAUUCAGUGAAUCAUCGAAUCUUUGAACGCACAUUGCGCCCGCCAGUAUUCUGGCGAGCAUGCCUGUUCGAGCGUCAUUUCAACCAUCAAGCCCCAGGCUUGUGUUGGAGCCCUGCGGCUGCCGCAGCCUCCCAAAACCAGUGGCGGGCUCGCUAUCACACCGAGUGCAGUAGUUUACUCUUCGCUCAGGGCGUGUGGCGGGUGCUAGCCGUGAAACCCCCAACUUCUCAAGGUUGACCUCGGAUCAGGUAGGAAUACCCGCUGAACUUAAGCAUAUCAAUAAGCGGAGGA